GGCGGUUCUCAGGUGACGCACCCUGGAAUCGGGCUCCCUCCUCGCUGGUUCUGGGUGUAUCACCCGAGAAUCGCA
Myotis lucifugus (little brown bat) is the source of this 75-nucleotide microRNA precursor. It matches the Rfam family "mir-9223 microRNA precursor family". Lineage: Eukaryota; Metazoa; Chordata; Mammalia; Chiroptera; Vespertilionidae. The record is from Rfam.